UAUAUGCUAGAGGUAUAUACUAUGCUACAAUUUAUCUAUAUAUUUAUUUUGCUUCAUCAUAACGAAUAUCUGAGAAUAGUACCGUUUAAGUUAGCUGAAGCAGAAAGAUCGGUAUUUCGUGUACAUAUACGCACGCACACAUAUCGAAAGUAAUUUUUAUAUAGGACCACUAGAUGGUACUAAUGCAGAAAACAUAUUUCAAGGUCUCGAAAAAUUUAACGUAAUCUCUCGUAUCGCAUCAUUGUUGGUGCAUAUUUGUAAUGGGUCAUGAAAAAUUGGGAAUAAAUAAAUUAGUGUUUUAUAGCUUGGCAAAAAAGUGUAGAAAUGGAACUAAUCCUUUAUUUUACCUGGCAACAUUAUCACAUUUUUGACGUUUGUGAAGUUUUAUAAAUAGUGUCGGUGUUGUCUUUUAUUAAAAUUUUGCAAUAAGAACAAGAAGAUACUAUUCGCGAUACAAAAUGAAUAAGCCGCGAAUAAUAAGGUUCGCGAGAGAAAUUAUAUAUAAAACUUUUACCGACCAUGUCUAGCUGAACAAGAAGCAAAAACAAUUCUAUCGGAUCUGGAAGCAUAUGUGAGUGUGUUUCAAGACAUAACCGAAGAUGAUUGGAAAAUCUCAUGUCAACAUGUAAGAAAAAUUUAAAAUGACUAUUACAAGAGAGAACAUACCCUGUAAGAGGACAUUGAAAGAAUUAUAAUAAAUCUUAAAGAUGACAGUAGUAGUUCUUCAGAAUCAUAGGAUGACUGUCCAGCCAGCUCCAGUCAUGAAAAUAUGGACAUUGAUUUUACUGAAAUACAAUAUUUGGAAGAAA
This is a long non-coding RNA of Manduca sexta (tobacco hornworm), 809 nucleotides long. RefSeq lists it as uncharacterized. The transcript has 2 exons. The record is from RefSeq and is a predicted model, not a curated record. Lineage: Eukaryota; Metazoa; Arthropoda; Insecta; Lepidoptera; Sphingidae.